CUUAGCUCAGUCGGAUAGAGCAACGGCCUUCUAAGCCGUGGGUCGCAGGUUCGAAUCCUGCAG
RNAcentral lists this transfer RNA (63 nucleotides) under Aeromonas sobria. It matches the Rfam family "tRNA", at positions 6 to 65 of the family's 71-position model. Rfam says of the family: Transfer RNA (tRNA) molecules are approximately 80 nucleotides in length. Their secondary structure includes four short double-helical elements and three loops (D, anti-codon, and T loops). Lineage: Bacteria; Pseudomonadati; Pseudomonadota; Gammaproteobacteria; Aeromonadales; Aeromonadaceae. The record is from RNAcentral.